UACGAAGGGGGCUAGCGUUGCUCGGAAUCACUGGGCGUAAAGCGCACGUAGGCGGAUCUUUAAGUCAGGGGUGAAAUCCUGGAGCUCAACUCCAGAACUGCCUUUGAUACUGGGGAUCUCGAGUCCGGGAGAGGUGAGUGGAACUGCGAGUGUAGAGGUGAAAUUCGUAGAUAUUCGCAAGAACACCAGUGGCGAAGGCGGCCGACUGGGCCGAUACUGACGCUGAGACACGAAAGCCAGGGUAGCGAACCGG
RNAcentral lists this ribosomal RNA (253 nucleotides) under uncultured bacterium. RNAcentral's name for it is "partial 16S ribosomal RNA". It matches the Rfam family "Bacterial small subunit ribosomal RNA", at positions 524 to 776 of the family's 1533-position model. The record is from RNAcentral.